This 1463-nucleotide unclassified non-coding RNA is filed under the name Hevea brasiliensis (rubber tree). The record is from RNAcentral. Lineage: Eukaryota; Viridiplantae; Streptophyta; Magnoliopsida; Malpighiales; Euphorbiaceae.
AAAGGCUUAGUUGAGUUGAGUUGCCAACACUUAAAUGCUUUUUAAUUUACUUGUACACUAACUAUGUGAGACUUGUUCUCACAAGUCAUAUUCCAAAACUCCCUCUAAGUGCAAUUAUGUUUAGCUCAGCUUACAGAGGCUCACAAGCCCAGUUGUUACUUGCCAUUGCUUGGGAUGACUCAUCUAACUUGGGUCUGGCUCCUUUUGUGUCUGACCUCAAGGUCUAGCACACUGAGCUAACCCACAGAUCCAUUUGAGUCCGGCUUAUUGAGGCUCCACCCACCAUGCUUUUGAGUCCCAAAUUUACAGCCGUUAGGCCUUACUGCUCUUAUAAAAUGAUGAGAAUUACGGAUCUAGGAGUGUGAAUAUCAAACCGGAAGGGCUACAAGCUGAACUAUGCUUGUAAAUGGGCUCCCCAUCAUUACCAAAAUGGCCUAAGCCAUUUUUUUAUUUGGUUUGCCAACACUUAAUUGCCCUUUAAUUUAUUUGUACCCUGGCUAUGUGGGACUUGAUCCCUCAAGUCAUAUUCCAACAAUUUUCAAUCAUUCAAUUUUCAAUACUUCAUAUCAUGUCUAAAAUUCUCUAAUGCUUAAUCUUAGUUUCAUCAAACAACACACAAGUAAAAUCUAACUAGGUAUAGAAUGUUGAAAAAUGAAUUUUACUUGGAUCUCCAACAAGGUAAAAUUUGAAACUUUAAAAAUAGAUUUCAAAAUAGUCAAGCAACCUUCCAAACCUCUGUACCCCGUCCACGAAGAAGAUGAUAUGCUAGAAUAUAUUGCUAAGGGAAGCUCAUUCAAAUUAGCACUAAUGAAUGCCAAAUACUGUUACAUCAAGGCAGCUAUUAUUCAAUAUACGCGCGCGCGUGCGCGCGCACACACACACACACACUAUUCUAGUUGGGAUCGUACAAAUAAAUACUAAAAUUCAACAAUUCUAUAGGCAUGAAGAAUCUUACAGGUAAAGGGAUAGGCUCAGAGAAGGGUUCAUUAGUUGAAAGCAAUUCAUCAUAGGUUGUCGACCAGCUUAUGAUUGGAUCCUUUGCCAUUGUUUUUGAUUUUUGAGAUUUAUCUCCUAUCCACUUUCUUCUACUCUCAUGCCAAGCAAUUGCAGCAUGAUUGACAAAAACAGAAGUGGUCUUGCUCACUUCUUUUUCCAUGGGCUUAUUUCCUUUAUUGGUGGAUGUUGGACACUCUAAAGCUUGUUUCUAAUUGGAAUGGGAACCUCCAGCAUUGACUUCCAUCUCUAAACUGAAAGACCAUUCCCUCACACGGUAACAAUGCAGCUGUUGACAAGUGGUCCUUCUCACAAGUUCCCUCAAGGUUCUAUCAAAGGAAAUGACUAAUUGGAAUGUAACAAGGUUUCCAGAACAACUCCUGGACUUAAAAUAGAUCUUCUGUCUUAUUUAAGAUUGUUUAUGAUUGCGUUGGCCUAGACGGAAUCUAAAGAUGUUUCCUUUAAGGGGU